Molecule: ribosomal RNA, 210 nt
Filed under: Megaselia scalaris
Lineage: Eukaryota; Metazoa; Arthropoda; Insecta; Diptera; Phoridae
Description: eukaryotic large subunit ribosomal RNA
Rfam family: Eukaryotic large subunit ribosomal RNA
Source: RNAcentral
GCUUUGUGAGGAGGAACAUCUUUCUACCCCUGAUUAAGCUAAUCUAACCUAAAGCGAAUGAUUAGAGGCCCUAGUGUCGAAACAAUCUUAACCUAUUCCCAAACUAUAAAUGGGUAAGAACAUCCUUUUUUUAUAUGUAGGUUGAGUUGUGUUAUAUUGAGACCAGUGGUCCAAUUUGGAUAAGCAGAACUGGCGCUGUUGGUUAAACCA